Long non-coding RNA from Bufo bufo (common toad), 1340 nucleotides. RefSeq lists it as uncharacterized. The record is from RefSeq and is a predicted model, not a curated record. The transcript has 3 exons. NCBI's taxonomy places the organism in Eukaryota, Metazoa, Chordata, Amphibia, Anura, Bufonidae.
CAGAUUAACGCGAGGCCUGGAGCCUGCGGGGUGGCGGCGGAUCAGCUCCGAUCAUCUGGAUGCUAUCAGCUGACUCCACUGUGAAGAUUGCACAAUCGGCAUUGACAGCUGAUAUAAAAGAAAUAAGAUGUCCAUUUGACUGAGCCAAACAAGCAUGUCUAUUGGAGCGCCAUGGCAGGAACCCGCACAGCAUUGGAGCGAUAAACAGUUGCAAAAGUCUACACACCCUUCCAGGUAACAGUUUAGUGUGCACUGCAGCAACACAGGAGGAUCCUUCUCAUAAAAGUGCUGAACGUCGUUCUCUUUCCAAGAUGAUGUUACCAAGAAUCGUCUCCUUGAGUUCAGCUCUGGAGCGCAGAAAUACUGCUUUGCGUGGUACAGUUGGCGGUGGGAGGGUUAACCGCUGUAAUAAGUUAAAGAUCCCUCACGGCAGGCUUUUCUUUAGCAUGUAGUUUGCAGCUCUGAGAACAAUAUACAUCAUACUGCUCCGUGACAUAAUAACUGGUUUUCAUUCCCCGUGACACUAAAAAUACGGCAUUUAAUACUGGUUCUAUUUACAUCUCUGCAAAAGACACCAAUUUAGACUAGAAUAAUACAGGAAACAGAAAAGACACUUGUACAAUGUGUCGCCACACAGUGCAUGUUAGGUAUGCCGUAAUUACUUGUCUUACACUGACCUGCCUUAUAGCUAUGGAAGUCUGAGGGAGCAAACCAUCUGGUUGACACAGUGACCUGUAAGUGGCGUGUUAUGGAAGAAGGUGACGCUAUAUGGUAACUGCACAUAUGGUACCUUUGUUAGACAUAUUCUGCAUUGCUAAUAUAGUAUGCAUUCGUGCUUGCCACAAUGAAAGUGGACACAAACAGGGGUAACAAUAUAGGCCCAUAGAUUUCUAUAUUGGCAAUAUUACAUGCCCACAUAACAUGGAUCCUUAAUACAGUCAUGUGUAGGAGACCUUUAUCUGAGAAGAAGGACCAUGUUAGAGGUGAGCUACAGUAAGGAAAGACUAUAAAUGUAUAAAUAAAGGCUAUCUUAUAAAAGGCAUAUAAAGGUGUGAGAUGCUGGUGCCUCUCCCUGGAAGUCCAUGUUAUAUGGUUGUAGAUGAUGGUGCUCUCCCUGGAAGACCAUGUUAUAUGGUUGUAGAUGAUGGUGCCAUCCCUGAAAGUCCAUGUAAUAUGGUUGUAGAUGAUUGUGCCCUCCCAGGAAGUUAAUUUUAUAUGGUUGUAGAUGAUGAUACCCUUACUAGAAGUCCAUGUGAUAUGGUUGUAGAUGGUAGUACUCUCCAUGGAAGUACAUAUUUUACGGUUGUAGAUGAUGAUGGUUCACUCAAUGGAAGUUCAUU